GUGCGAUCUCGUUAAUGUGCAGGUGUUAAUACAGCAGCACCUUCAUAUCCAGCGAGCAGGACACAGAGACAGACAGCAGCUACUCCACUCUCUAGCAGAAAACACCCCCCGGAGUGACAGGGCAUUUCUGAGCAUCGCAACGAUGUGCAGACUGACGGUCUUCAUUGUGGCUGUCUGUGCAUUGAUGGUGGGUCUCUCAGUCUGCUGCCCCCCAAGAAGAUACCACGUCAGCAGAGAUACAAAGACCUGGGACCAAGCUCGUCAAUACUGUCAAAGUAAUUUCAUUGAUCUGGUUAGUGUUCCCAGUGAAGAGGAAAUGCUGGCAGUCAAGGCACUGAUUUCCCGGGUCUCAGAGUACACGUUUUGGUUGGGUCUGCGCAGAAACACAGUCAGCUCGCCUUGGGAAUGGUCAACCGGUGUGGCCUUUCAAUACAGCAAAUGGCUGAGUUGGGAACCAGAUGCUAAUGGAGAUUGUGGAGUCAUGAUUCCCACCGGAGAGUGGGGAGCUGAAC
Molecule: long non-coding RNA, 512 nt
Organism: Acipenser ruthenus (sterlet)
Lineage: Eukaryota; Metazoa; Chordata; Actinopteri; Acipenseriformes; Acipenseridae
Exons: 3
Source: RefSeq, a predicted model, not a curated record